This 329-nucleotide long non-coding RNA is filed under the name Lathyrus oleraceus (garden pea). Its description in RNAcentral is "Pisum sativum (pea) long non-coding RNA (PSAT_LNC015884)". Lineage: Eukaryota; Viridiplantae; Streptophyta; Magnoliopsida; Fabales; Fabaceae. The record is from RNAcentral.
GUAAAACUGUCCUUACUAUUGAGAAGUAAGUAGUCUUAUCCUUUGGAUGUAAAGGGACAUCGUGGGGUCGUCGAUUGGUCAUUGAAGGCAACAUUUGUAAGGAUACCUUAGCAUUCGAAGAGACGAUCGUCAUUUAAUCGUAGGCUAUAACGAAGGGUCAUCGAGGGACAAAGUCAUAUAUUCGAAGGCAACGUUGGGACAUUGACAUUUUGAUCGAAAGGACUAUGACUUAUCUGUUUAGGGAUGAUGAUGAUUUAAUCGAAAGGGUAUCCCCACAUUCGCGGGACAGAGGUGCAAGUGUGGAAAUGAUUGGAUUCGGUACAUAAUUU